AGUCUUGGGGUGUAACACGUUAGAUUGCAAAUCUAAAGAAGCAGGCUUCGUCUGCCGGGACUU
RNAcentral lists this transfer RNA (63 nucleotides) under Coryphaenoides armatus. RNAcentral's name for it is "tRNA-Cys". The record is from RNAcentral. Lineage: Eukaryota; Metazoa; Chordata; Actinopteri; Gadiformes; Macrouridae.